This 383-nucleotide ribosomal RNA is filed under the name uncultured bacterium. RNAcentral describes it as "bacterial SSU rRNA". It matches the Rfam family "Bacterial small subunit ribosomal RNA", at positions 29 to 416 of the family's 1533-position model. The record is from RNAcentral.
AUUGAACGCUGGCGGCAUGCUUUACGCAUGCAAGUCGAACGGUAACAGGCCUUCGGGUGCUGACGAGUGGCGAACGGGUGAGUAAUGCAUCGGAACGUGCCCAAUCGUGGGGGAUAACGUAGCGAAAGUUACGCUAAUACCGCAUAAGCCCUGAGGGGGAAAGUGGGGACCGCAAGGCCUCACGCGAAUGGAGCGGCCGAUGUCAGAUUAGCUAGUUGGUGGGGUAAAGGCCCACCAAGGCGACGAUCUGUAGCGGGUCUGAGAGGAUGAUCCGCCACACUGGGACUGAGACACGGCCCAGACUCCUACGGGAGGCAGCAGUGGGGAAUUUUGGACAAUGGGCGCAAGCCUGAUCCAGCCAUGCCGCGUGCGGGACGAAGGCC